GCAGUCGAGGGGUAAUCACACUUUCGGGUGUGAACGACCGGCGCACGGGUGCNUAACGCGAUAUGCAACCUACCCACAACUGGGGGAUAGCCCGGAGAAAUCCGGAUUAAUACCCCAUAAUGCAGGGGUACUGCAUGGUACUAUUUGCUAAAGAUUUAUCGGUUGUGGAUGGGCAUGCGUCUGAUUAGUUAGUUGGUGAGGUAACGGCUCACCAAGGCGACGAUCAGUAGGGGGUCUGAGAGGAUGAUCCCCCACACUGGUACUGAGAUACGGACCAGACUCCUACGGGAGGCAGCAGUAGGGAAUAUUGGUCAAUGGGCGGAAGCCUGAACCAGCCAUGCCGCGUGCAGGAUGACGGCCUUCUGGGUUGUAAACUGCUUUUAUCAGGGAAGAAAACGGUCAUGCGUGACAGAUUGACGGUACCUGAAGAAUAAGCACCGGCUAACUCCGUGCCAGCAGCCGCGGUAAUACGGAGGGUGCAAGCGUCNUCCGGAUUUAUUGGGUUUAAAGGGUGCGUAGGCGGAUUAUUAAGUCAGUGGUGAAAGUUUGCGGCUCAACCGUAAAAGUGCCAUUGAUACUGGUAGUCUUGAGUACAGUAGAGGUAGGCGGAAUUUAUGGUGUAGCGGUGAAAUGCAUAUAUACCAUAAAGAACACCGAUAGCGAAG
RNAcentral lists this ribosomal RNA (665 nucleotides) under uncultured Sphingobacteriia bacterium. RNAcentral describes it as "bacterial SSU rRNA". It matches the Rfam family "Bacterial small subunit ribosomal RNA", at positions 57 to 720 of the family's 1533-position model. The record is from RNAcentral. Lineage: Bacteria; Pseudomonadati; Bacteroidota; Sphingobacteriia.